CUCUCAAGUUUAGAUAUAACAGUUAUAAUUUAAAGCUUGCUCUAGACCUAAACUUGUGGGAUGAAAACUUGAUCUGAAGUCUAAGUUGUUAACGGAUAAGAUAUGGGAAGGCUGAGCUGCUGUUUAUCUGUUCCUAGAGAUGCUAGAAUUCUGGAGAAUUUUAUCUUGAAAAUCUUUAAAAUGUUGCAUGAUGAGUUCCUGUAUGAUGAGAGUUUAAAUUCCUACCACAGCCAUAUAUACAUGCUUGCUAGACUUUGAGCCACACAUUUACUAUUUACUGCUUAUGAGCAUUGAGUGUGGUCAAGCUGUGUAGACCCUUAGGAGCUUGUCAUGUGGUUAAAUCAAGAUUUCACUUGCACGUUCACUCAUAUAUGCUACUUCUACUCCGGAAGUACCAUCCACAUAUAUCCACCCAUUCCAUCUCCAGAACCACCUAAAAAUAUUCUACUCCUAAUCCGGGAGAGAAUAACCAAAAAUAUUUCUGUUUUCCCCUUGUGAAAUAAAUGCUCAAGUUAUCUUGUUACUACCACUUGCUAUAUUAUCUCAAGAGAUGAGUGCUCUAAAAAAAAGAGAGAGAGAGAAAAUAAUACGAGGAAAUAAAAAGGAGCAAGUGCUCGGAACCUCGAAAAGAAAAAAAAGUGAGACGAGAGGUAAAAAUGGACAAGUGUCCGACAGUAGAAUUAGGGGUGCAAGAUACCCACCUGAGAGACAAGAAAAAGAAGAGCAUCUCAUUCUCAUCAUAAAGUUUCAAAAGCAAGGAAGGUAUGUAUCCCCUCAAAAGAGCAAAAGUAGUAUUAGACUUCCACCACCAUUGUUUUCACCAUUGUUAUCACCAUCAUCACCAUAUACCAUUCAUUCGCCACACAUGCACAUCUUGAUUAAACUUAUUGACUUGUUAUUUUGGAUCCAUGGUUUGACUAUGCAAUAAAUGUCUUGUAAGUAUGUAUACUUUAUCUCCCACCUAUGAGCUCCAGAUAUUAAAGCCUUAGUAGAGUAGGGUGAGAGAGAAGGCAAUAUCACUAUGCCUCAUACCACAAAUACCACAUAUCUUGAGAGAAGGCAUAUACCAUCAAUGCCUUGGUAAGGAUCCAAAAAUACCACAAAAGAGAGACCUGAGAGAAUCAUACAAGGAAUCUCUGAGUUUUAUUUGAAAAUCUGCAAAAAUCCCAGAGCUAUAGCUGAUCAAGAAUAAGAGACAUGGCACUUGGCUAGACUGUUCUAUCUUUUAACCACUCAAGACAGAAGUGACAGUAACAAGUCCCAUGGUGGAGGUAAAGUAAGUAAGUUUUAAGUCUUGACAGUUUACUCUAACUUAGAGAUGAGAUCUUAUUUAAAAGCAUGUGUACCGUCAAAUUUUUAAAGAUAUUGCGACUACUUCUGAUCCAUAGCUGAGUCUAUCCUUGCUCAGGGACGAGCAAGAGGUAAGCUUGGGGGAGUUUGUUGACGGUCCUUAAGUAUCAAAUUUAAUUAUCAAAUAAAUAAAGAAAAGGAUCCAAAUGAAAUCAAGAUCUAGACUUAGGGUUUUAUGUGACAGAAUUCCACGAGUUUUGGUGUUUGUCUAUUUCUGCAGGGGGUUAUCAGGAAAUACGGAAGAAAGGCCCACAUGUCAGGAUUACGUAAAGGUAUUAACGUGCUGCGCAAUUAUCUUACAUCUAGAAGACUCCAGAAGCCACGGGACCGAAGCGGAGGCGAAACGGGGCCAGACCCUGGGCGGCCGCCCAGUUGGUCAGGGUGCCCGCCCACCUCCUGAGUCCAAUCAGGACUCUGCUUUGCGGGAGAUCUCCACCGACCUAAAGGAUGAAUCUAAACCAUACAAUCUAUGUCGGUUUGAUCCAAGGGCCCAUAUUCACUUGGAGGGACUAUAAAACCAGACCCCCUGGCCCCUGGAGGAGAGAGCCUCUCAACCCUAAUUCAUUGUUCCAUCAAGGGAGAAGAAGCCUCUGAUCAAGAUUAGAGCCACCACAUCAAUUAGACAUCUAGAUUAGCAUAGCUACAUAGGAUUAGAACUAGAAGGAGUCAAUCUUCGAUUGGUUUCCGGAUCUGUCAGGAGGAUUCUUGGUAAUCUUUUAAUUGUGCUUCUAAUUGCUUUCUAAUUAUCUUUGUUCUUCAAUAUUAUGAAUAUGACUUUGUUCUACUUCAAUAUAUUGCUUAUGACUUUGCUCUACUUGCUUAUAUUCAAGAUUAUAUUGUUCUUAGUUUAUCAUAGUUAUGUACUUGGCUUAGUUAGAUACGAUCUAUAUACAUGCUUAGGAUCGUAUAGCGUUUAUCCAUCGGAUCCAUGGGUAAAUGAUAGAUAUUGUGUAGGCAUGGUGCUUAUACCGUAUUUAUCUGCGAUUGUACCCAAUAUGCCAGAUCGUGGGGUGGUUCGUGAUAGUGACAGCUUCAUUGAUUCUUAUAUAGUCCCCCUCUCGUGUAUUGGGCUGGCAGAGCAACAUUAUUACAGGGGAGUGAUUGCUAUGUUUCUCAUAUUCCUUGCUAAUAUCACUAUGCAUGGGCGUAGUCUUGUCUCACAAUGAUUGCUAAGUAUGCUUGCACUAACUAUGAUAAUGCUAGACUAUAUAGUUAAGAAUAACUUAGGGAAUAUUCUUGUAGUUCGUUCUAAUACCAUGCUAAUGACUUUCUAGAGUAUCUAAUUGAGGUGCUUAUCAUAUUUAUUAUGUGGCUAGAUCAGAUUAGUUAUCCUUGUCACUAUUAUUAUUUCAUAUAUCUUUUAUGUGACAUUUAUCCCUGUAUAAUGAGUUAGAUAUAAUGUUCUCAAUUAUACAUGCAAUGAUAGAUGCUCAAUCUCAUAUUCUAUUCUGUAAUCAAUAGUGAUGAUUGCUAAUCCCUUCCCAGUGGUAAAAAUAUAAAUAACGAUACCUGGAAUACUUCCCGGUUAAAAUGCUACAUCGGUAUUAAUCUGUGCGCUUGCAGAUUCCAUUCAUUAUUUAUUUAGAAGAGCAAUUGCAUAUUUCAAUACCGCGUCUCUCAUAUCAUGCUGGGGAUGACAACUUGGCUUAAGUGGUGUGAGGUAUAGGUUUGGCAUUUUUGGCACCGUUGCUAGAUUUAGAACUUAGUCUACUUUUAGUAAUGAUGUUAAGAAUACCCAACAGUAACAUUCGCUGUGUUUAUGUUGAACUAUUACGAUCUUGGUUUGUUGCGAGUUGGUUUGAAGUCCUUCGUGAUUUCGAUUGACUACCGGGAUUAUAUGGGCUCAAGUUUAGAAACUUGAUUGCUUGGCGAUCGUUUCUGCACUUGAACUGUUAUAAUUUGGUCGGUUCUGUGACAAAGAUCAUCAUCUCAGUGCUGUUGACCGGUGUCUUGGUGGAGCCCAAAGGAUCUUGAGUCUCAGACUUAUCCUAUUUGUCUGCUGUCACCACAAUUGAUUUUAACUUGGGAAUAGGGAUCACCUGGUCCUCAGUAGGUGGCUGAAGCUAAAACCUGUCUUCAAAUGGUGCAUUGAUAGGUGCACCAAAGUUUACCUCAGAUAUUGGAACGUUACCGAGCCUUCUUACCUCAUCACCAUCUCCCUUGCUCUUGAUGCUGUUUGAGCCUCUAGCUGACGAAGCCACUGGGCUUGCACUGGAGUUUGUAGGCAGAACAGGCCCCUCCCAACGAGGAGCUACAGUGGGUAAGGGGUGCAAUGAACCAAUGGUGACAUAUCCUCCUCAUCAGGGAGGCUAUUGAUGCUAUUCCUCUUCUAGAUGUAGCAUGCCGACGUCCAAGACUUUCCAUUAGGGGGAAGUUCUGUGUUGAGCUUGAUGGUGGAAGGGAUCUUCAAGUCAUCAUUGAGAUAGACUUUGGCCACAACACACCCAGUCUGGGUGUCAUCCCAUACUAUCAGUAUCCCAAACUAUGAAACUACCUUUGCAACAUGCUAUGUGUUUCUCAGAUCUUUAGGGUAGUCCACUAGGGGAACCAUGGCUUCGCGAUCAACUGCAAGGGCUCUAGCAUUCUCUACUUCAUCAUGGCGGAUGAAGUGCAUGUUGUAGUUACCAAAAAUAAUGUUGGGGCCCAAAAAUCUAUCAUGCUCAAAGGGAUUACUAAAUUUGACAAAGGCAUGACCAAGGGGACAGGGUGAGAUCUCAAUACCAUGGACUUGAUGGAUAUCCCUAAAGAAGCUCUUGAGCUCCUUGAAGAGUCGGUGGAUGUUCUCCUUGUGCAUGGGCAGAGUGAGCUUUGCGAUCGCCAAGUCUUCAUUGCUCUUGAUGAAGCAGCCAAUGAUGAAGACUUCAUGGUGAAGGAGAGGUGAGGGCUGGUAUUCAUCUAGCACAAAGCCCUUAGGGAUGAAGGGCUUGGGAUCAACAGCGAAGCUCGCCAUCGGAGUCUUUGAGGGAAGCAUAGGAAUAGUAGAUUGGUGAGGCAGGUCGACGAAGGUUGGAGAAGCCAAACCUGGGGUGGGCGAUGGUCCACUCAUAUCCUUCUAUUGCUCCCCUUCGACUUCUUAUCAGUAACGGGCCAAAAAUUUGGGAUUUGGAUUUCGCUUUGGAGAGGCAAGAUAGUUGCGAGUGGCCGUACCAAAAACAAAGAGCGCAUCUCAGCUUGCCAUUGCAAUCUUUCCAGUCGUGCCCUAGGCCCAAGCAGCAUCCACGACUCAGUGGGCCGGUAGCAACCAAAUUACCCAUGUGAGACUGAGAGUGCUUUGGAAAAGCGACAGGAAUGGUGCCGUUAGUUUUGGGCUGGGCUUCCAAACAGGAGGAGGCCGACAAUUUAGCCUGGCUGGAUUUGAAUUUGAAAAAAACGGGUCACCCUUUGAUCUAGGAGGAGAAACGAACUUCCUAUCUAUGAUGAUGGUAGAAUCAACAAAAGCUUGAGCAUAAUUGCCCGGAAAAUGCAGAUGCCAGAACACCGACACUCUGGGAUUGGGAGGGGAUUUGACAAUUUCAUUGAAACUUUUAUUGCCUCUGGUGGAUUUGUUGGGUUUAUAGCAAAUCUUGGUCCAUUCAGACUCUUGUUCAUCUAACCAAAGGUUAUAUUCCAUGAGCCAAUUUGGUCCACCAUUUCUCCAAAGAAAAAAUAAAAUCUUAAAGGCAUUGCAAGAAAAGCUUUUCAAGUUCUUGAUCCAGAAUCCAACGUUUUUGCAGGAGACGGUAAAACAAACAAUCACCCAGAUAAAUGUUUAACGUUAAAAUCCUUGUUGGACCCCCCAAGCGAGAUUGAAGGAGAAGACCGACAGUAUCUUCACUGAGUCUGAUGGCAGAUCGCUCAAAACUUGCAACUAGUUUGAAAAAAGAUGGGGAUUGGGAUGAGACUGGGCUCACUGUGCAUCCAAAGCGCUCGAAAACCAUCCGGCCAAACUUGACUCUCGGUUCAAACACGAUGUCCGAGAAUCUAGCCAUGACCGCCAACUUCAGGCGAGGACGCCAUGGUGGAGGAAGACGUGGGGGAGCAAGCUAGGCAGGGGCUUGGAGGGUAACUUACUUAGAUAGACUUGCUCCUUACUACUUGUGUGAGGAGGAUAGUCAAGAAAAUAGGACCCUUGUUAAAGCGGCUAUAGUCUAAUUGGUGCCCUACCUUUUAAUAACAAGUUCGUAUGUGAGGAAAUCCUAAUGCCGAGCAUGACCUGUCACAUCCUACCAGUGUGCUCCUACUAUCUAUCGGAACCAGCGGCCUCUACUAGUAAAAUUAAGUAUGAGCACCACACUCACACUUACUCUCACAACCCUAGCUACUAUACAGGCAACUAGAGCUCCUAUGCAAGAUAGACGAUGAUCUACACACAAGGAGCUGGUACAGGUAAGCACUCCAACUAGGACAAUUAUACUACUAGGACAAUCACACAACAACACUAUAACAGGUACAAAAUUGUACUAAGUAAAUACUGAAAGUAAAUACUUAAAGAAGUAAAGGGAAGAAUAAAAUAAAGUAAAGUAAUACUAAAGAGAAAAGAUACAAGAGCAAUACCAGAGUCUCCUGAAGAUGACUCCGGAGACCCAAGGUUCGCUCGACUCGACUCGACCCAUCCUAAACUAACUACAACUAUACUUGAUCUCAUAACAGAAAGAAUUGAGCUUGAGGCUACAUUGGGGAUUGCUUGGGGAUGCUUCUCAAAGGUGGAGGUAGCCUCUAUUUAUAGAGGAAGGAGAGGGGGUGCCAUGUCAGUGAUCCACAUGCUCGAUCCUUUUCCACCCUUGGAUGAACCAACUUGGAAAUCGCCUUAGAUGGAUGGCCAAGGGAAUUUGGACAUGUGGGAGUCGUGCUUGAGGUCGGAUGGAGCAACUGGCUUAGUGGGGUCCAUAUGGAGGUCACCCGAUCCCCUCACUAGGCAGUGGGCCUAGCUUGAGCAUUCUAGAAGGAUCCCAAGGUUGGUUGCAUGAAGUAGCUUCUCAGGUCCCUUCACCUUGGGGUCAAUCAACCCCCACCUUGUGAGGUGGGCCCAACAGGUUCUUCUAGAAGGUGGCCCCACAUGUUGAUAAGAACCCGCUAGGGUUUUCGCCCAAUCUUUCGAUGAGAGGUGUUCGGUAACUCGACUGGUGAAAGGAGUUGAUGUUCACGGUCCGACUACAGCCCUCCAAGGCUACGCCUUAGCAACCGAUACACCACCUCCAAUGCUUGUCACGAUCUAGUGGAGCGCGACAACCAGCCAGUAGGGCACUCGCCCUGCAAGCAAUCGAAGAACUAACAAGAACAAGUAGAACAAGUACUGAAUUACUAGAUGUAAACAAAGGUUUGAAGCUCAAUCUCUAAUGAAGUGGGGUUCCGAAAACAAGAAGACGGGCGGCUCGAUCAGCACACACGUUUACAAGCAAGUAGCGAAGGCUAAACUUGAUCUAAUCAAAACCAAACUAUGUGGUGGCGGCUGUAGGGACCUCAAGUACCCUAAAGGAUGACCAAAGGAGGUCUAGGGUCAUGGUUUAACCCUAGGACACGUCCGUAAUAGACCCAACUUGAUACAUGGGCCAUCAGCCCAAAAUAUGGUGACGCAGCACCCUGGACAGCAAGACCUCUCAAUGGUAAUUGGAUCUUUGCUGCUGCUGCCGAACAGAUAUCGUCGUGGGACUGGACUCAUAUGAAAGUAGAUUUUAUAAGCUUUCGAACAAGUUCUGAAGCACCCCAAUCCAAAUCCGUAUGCAACCAUGGUGACGGUCACAAGUUGGUGCUUUGCUGCAGUCCGAAUCCAGCCAACGUGAGUCCUUGUCCCUUUCGGUCUUCUCCUUGGUUCCUAAUCAAAACAAAAGUGCACGUGUUUCCAGGGUCUAAACAAGAUGGACAAGAGCUUAAGAAGGAACUCACUUGAUGAUUAUGUUGACGAGCACGAGCAUGAGUAAGUGGAUCAGCAAUAGGUACUGGUGUCGGUGGCAUGGAUGCAUCGCCGUUGAUGUCCGCAUCACAUGUCAUGUGCAGUGGCUUGAUCAGUAACUUAGUAGUUGUCACGUUGCUUGCUUCCUUAUGGGCCCAUGGAUCCAUGUACAAUGAUCUUUUACCAUUAGAAGUUGAUCUGUGGGUCAACAUGCACACCGAAGACCUUGACAUGGAUUGUACUUCGAAGCUCAACUCUUGGUGGGUUCAUGAUGGCAUCACCCGACCUCCUCAUUGGGUGCAUUUUAUUGUUUCCUAAAAUCAAAGGCUAACAGUACAUGUGCAACCAGCUAUUGAUAAAAAAUGCUCAUGUUAUGCUAUUCUUCCAUGGAAUCGAGGUAUGUUGAUAGUGUUUUGAGUAUGAAUUUCUAGGGUAUAUGCACCGUCAACAAGAUCCCCAAGCUUAACAUUUGCUCAUCCCGAGCAAACAAUCAAACUUAGCCUUAGUGGAUCAGGUAAAGUUACUAGGCCUACAUUUCAAUAGUACCAUGUGCACAACAAAGUUUUUCUCCUUGAAAUGGAAAAAAUAGUAAUAGAAACACACCCUAUACCUCUCAAUAGUACCAAAAGUUCGACUAGAGUACUAACAUUCUUAUUCCUAGCAAGUUUCAUACCAAAGGUUUUGCAAUGUUUUUUAGAAGAAAACUUAAUGUUCAUCAUAUGGUUCUCUCAUGUCGCUCAAAUGGUAUAUGAUUCCUCACCAAGGAAAAUAAUAAAAGUUUCCUUCCUAAUUCUAACAUACUUCUAUGGAGGCAUAUGUGGAGCUCAAUGUAGGAAUAGAAGGAGAUGGCAUACUUACUUGCAUUAGUUGCGAAGCCAAAGCUUGGAUUCUUGAAGAGAAGUGUCAUACCUAUAGAUCAAGAUGUGCAAGUGUGUAACCUAUGGUGGACUAGGUUGCUUCUUUAUUUGAUAAGAUGUCUCUCUCUAUUUAUUACUAGGCCUACAUUUCAUACGUGUCCAUCUAUGAAUGCAAUUUUUCCUAGCCCAUUUAUAUGUCUCAUCAUCUAAACAAUAUUUAGAUAGAUACUUUAACACUUAAAGCAUGGAGCAACCUAUAUAUUUUGUGUGGAAAUGGAAUACAUAUUUUUGCAUACUUCCAAUGUAGAAGUAGCAUAUGCAUGUGGCGUGUGUGUGAUCUUGAUUUUAGAGGCAUGAAACAUCUCUUAACAACGCAAAUAGCCUAUGUGGAAGGUUUUUUAGCAUGUAGAUCAUUUAUGGCUAUGGUAGGAACUUAUCACCAUUGAGGAACAAUUAAGGUUUUGAUCAUUUUAAGAAAAAAUCCUCCUGUAAUCAAUCAUGCUUAGAACAAUAUUAUGACAGCUCUUGUCUCACUAUCUCAUAUCCCACAACAACUUAGACUUAGUUAUAGCACUCACAACCCACAAAGGUUUUAGGUUCAUGGUGGUUUAAAAGUGCUAAGUAAUCCAUACUUAGGGAAAUACUAAGUUGUAGACUAGGUAUUAGAGAAACAUUGACAAAGCAACUAAUCAUCAUUUCCAUAUGGGGAAUGUGCAUACAUGAAGCAUGUGAGCAAGCAUAUAUCUUUCUUUGAGUGUUUUAAACUUUUUUAGCAAUGCAAAUAAAUAAUUAAAAUACAAUGCAUGGGUAGAGUACUUACCUUAAUGGGGGAGAGGAUCUCCCCCAAGCUUGGCUCUUUCUCACUAUGGUGGCGGAUAGAGUAGGAACCUUGCGUCCCGACGACGUCCAUCCUCUUGCAUUGCUUGCAACAUUUGGGCAUUCUGUUGCAUCAAUUGCAACGUGGCAUCUUGUUCCACUUGUAAGUCACCCAUGUUGUUGAUGAGUUCAUCCACCUCCAUUCUCUGUUGGUGCCUCCCCUGCCCCAUGGGCGAGGAGUGUGUGUGCUCCAGAAGUGUGCAUGAUGGGGAGGUAUUCCCCCAUGGAAAUGUCCGUGGAGCUCACCUCUUCUUCCAUAGCUCCCUCUGCAGGAUAUGAGGGACCCGCCUGCCCCAUCUGGGCAGGUUGCACCAUCCCUCUUGUCACCUUGUCCGUCCCUACAACAUGGUGGACUCGCUCUUCCUUGUCCAAUUUAAUGGUUCGUUUCUUUGGCGCAUACAACCGAUGCUUCUCAUAGGCGGAGGAACUUCGGCUAUAUGGCCAUGAUAAAUCAUUUUGCAUCCACCACUUGGACCUCUUUUUAGCAUAUAAAUGGUAAUGAACAUUUGUUCAUCUAUGGCAUCUCUUUUCAUGGGCUCAGCAAUAGCACUCAUGAAACAAUGGAUGCUGCUGCUGGAGGAGCAUUGUUAUCACUUACCAUUUCUCAAGCCACUGCUCUUGUGGAAAAGAUGGCCUCCAAUCAAGGUUGGAGUGAAGAAAGAACUCAUACCUGUAAGAGAGGUGGAAGAAUGCACUAGCUCAAGGAGGUAGACAUGCUAGCUGCCAAAAUGGACCUGCUGAUGAAAAUAAUUGAUGAAAGAACCAUUGAGAAGAAGAAAGGCAUGCACAUUCAUGAUUCUGGCAUGACUUGUGAAGAGUGUGGAGAAACUGGGCAUACAGGUACCAACUGCCCAUAGUUGACAGAGGAUGUGAACUACGUCAUCAACAACAACAACUACUACUACCGUCCUCAAUAGAAUCAAGGCUGGAACCAGCAACAGUGGCCCAACUACUGAGGUAACUACUCAGGUAAUUACCAAGGUAAAAAUUCUUAUAAUGCUAAUCAACCACCUUUAAGAGAGUUAGUGUUUAAUCCAGGCAAGUUAAUGGAUAGCCUGUCUAAGAAGCUAGCAUCUAAUGAUAAAACUUUAGAAUAAAUUAAUAUUAGAAUGGAAAGUUUUUCCAAUUCUAUCAAGAGUCAGCUUAGCUUUAAUAAGAUGCUAGAAUCUUAGUUGCAACAACCAGCUCACUUUGUUGCCGCCAACGACCAAUGUAAGAUUCCUAGACAACUAGGGAAAUUAGAAACUGCAAAUCUUGUAGACAUCUUUAAUGCAGGAAGCUAUUGGAGUGAUCCUCCAAGAGGAACAUGGUUAGACUCGUCUCUACCAACAAAAAAGGGUGAUCCAUGGGGGCCGUUUAUUCCAAUCUCCACUAGAAGUGCAAACUUCGACAAGGCAAUCUAUGACUUUGGUGCAAGCAUCAACAUCAUGCCUAAGGUGAAACUUGAUUGCUAGUCGAUCGUUUCUACACUUGAACUCUUAUAAUUUGGUCGGUUCUGUGACAGCUGGCAUCGGAGCAAGUUCAGCAUUAUAAAUGCAGCGUCCGUGUAUUUAAAAACAAAAGAGUUUUUAUAUAAAACUGUGAAAACCAACACUUAAAUAUGCCAGUGGUCAAAUCCUCCUUGCCCAUAUAAGGACUCUAGGUGGCUAUUUAAGUACUGACUUGGGGGGUUCAUUUAUGCAUCUCCGUUAGUACUCAGGUAUGGAUGUGUGAUGACCGCACUAUGCUACUCUAUGGUCUAAUGGUAGAGGUAGUCUUCAAAUGUGAACUAGCCACAUAUGUCGCUAGAUUUAAAUUACGCAACGUCGCACCUACGCUCUGGUAAGUGUGUGCUGUGAGAGCAUGAUCGUCCAAACGGCGGUCUAGGGGAGUGUUCGCGGUGGUUUUCUGGAGUGGUCACAUGUCUAACCAUAGAACCACGGAAGAAACUUAAUUGGGGAGCAUUUAAUUUCUCGGGUAGUUGUGGUGUCAUUGUUUGUGUAUGUUGGGCAUGUACAAGUAAUGCGCACUUAGUUUACUGCUUUCUUGAGUGAUAUAUUGGGAAUUGUUGGGCUGCAAUGAUGUUUUCUACAGGUACUCUAACAGCGCACGUGUAAAUCGCUAGUUAUCGUACCGAGAGACGAAUGUAUGGCACCGUAUAUCUGUUAGAAUAUUAAUUUUCUAAGUUUGUGAGGACGUACGGUUCGUGCAUGCAUCAUGUCGCAUUCAUACAUACAUUCUGUCUACUCCUUCCCUUACAAUAUCGUCCCUUUUAAUUAAAUAAAUGUUGCUUAAACUAAUCCUCUUUUACCCACGGUUAUUCCUUUCCACAGAUGGACGUGCCCGCUUCACCUCGCCCCAGUGACACCUUUUUGAGCGAGUUUGGCACUCCUACCUUGCUCUGGAGGUUGCUGCAGUCUGUGGGGUAUACUGAGCCACCUCAGUAUUCUUGGUGGGAGGUGGAUAUGACAGGAGAGCUGUAGUAGUUUGCUGUGCAGGGAGUUGUCCCGCCACAUGGGGGCAGGCCUGCCUGGACAGGGUGGACCUGCAACUCGGAUGAGCAGACUCCAUGGGAAGCAGCUCAGGUUGCAGCCCAUGCGAUGCUGCUCAACAUCCGUCAGAGGUUUGGCGAUGAGCUGACAGGAGGGUGAAAGGAUCAAGAUGCCUAAGAGGGCGGGUGAAUUGGGCUUCUCUGAAAAUUUAAGCAACCUAUAAGCUCCAAUUCAACCCCUUGUGCCUAGUGUGACCUAGAGAGCUACCGAAUAAAAGUUUUGCAACCUAGUUCCAAUCCUAUUCUAGCAUGGCAAUUCUAAGAAUGUAAAAACACAAAGUAAAUGCUAGAAUGUAAAAGAGUAGUGGAAGAAAGUGCUCGGCGAUGUUUUGCCGAGGUAUCGAAGAGUCGCCACUCUCCACUAGUCCUCGUUAGAGCACCCGCGCAAGGGUCUUGCUCCCCCUAGGUCCGCGCAAGGACCAAGUGCUCUCUACGAGCUGAUUCUUUAACACUUCGUCGUGGUGAAUCGCCCAAAACCGCUCACAAGCUUGACACGAGCCACCCACAAGAACUCCGGGCGGUCUUCGUGCCUCCAAUCAGCACCGAACCGUCUAGGUGAUGGCGAUCACCAAGAGUAACAAGCAAAGAACUCUCACUUGACCCAAACAAGGCUCUAGAGAGUGGUGGAUGCACACUUGACUCUUGGAAUUCACUAGAGAAGGAUUCUCUCAAGAAAUCACUCAAAACUCAAUCCUCUCUAGGCUCUUGGGGUCAUCUCAUCUCAAUGUGCCCAACCAAGCAAUUGGUGAAGCAACAAGUAAAGCCUCAACCAAAGCCACAAGUUGAGCAAGAAAAGACACCCCAAGCUCAACUCAAGAUCUACCAUGAUGGUGAUGACUUGAUGAUGAAGAAGAAGAAGACAAGAAGGGGUGGAAGGGCAAGGCAUCCAAUGCAAAUCCAAGAUGCCAAGAUAAUGAGCAAGAAUCAAGACAAGAAGAAAGCUUAUGCUCACAUCAUGUGUUUUGUGUGCAAGAAUGAUGGACACUUUGCCUCGAGGUGUCCUACCAAGCUUGAGAAGAAGGCUCAAGCAACUCUCAAGAGGCAAGGCAAUGAGAAGCAACACAUGAGCAAGGAAGAAAAGGCUCAAUCAAAGAGAAGUUAUUACUUAUGCCGGGAAAGGGGACACAUGGCUCAUUCUUGUCCCCUAGAUAAUAAUUCUAAGCCCAUUUCAAUUGAUGAUAACACUAUGCUUAGAAAGGAUGGUAAUGGUACCUCUAUGGUUGCUAUUGCAAAACAUCCUGCUACUCAAACUAAGGCUAUGCAUAAGUAUGUUGCACCUAACUUGAGAGGACCCAAACUAGUUUGGGUACCAUCAAAAAGUGGAUGAAUAUGUGUAGGUACCAUCAGCAUUGGAGACUUGAUUCAAUUGAUCCUAUAAUUGUUCAUCAUAUGAUUGAGUCAAAUAUUGAAGCCGAGUGCACAUCCAAACCCAAUGCCAUGACAAGAUAGUGAAGUCCAAAUGUGCUACAACAUACAAGUGCAAAUAUUCAAGUUGUGGUGAUUUAUUGGAUUAUUUGAUGGCUUGCAAAUACAUGAGUUGAAGCUUGCAAAUUAGAUGAUCAUGAGCUAACCAAGGUAUAUCUUUGUUGGUCACAUUCAUUUGGGUGCAUAUGAGUUGAUUGAAUUGGAUAUAUAUGCAAUGUUGCUUGCUAUAAGAUGAUUGAAUGGAUAAGAUGAUUAGUAAUCAAGUUGGGAUUGAUUUGAGUUGGAUAAGUUCAUAAGAUGACUUUUAGUGAGUGGAUUGAAUUGAUAUAUGCCUUGUAAAAAUAUUCAAACUAGUCUUUUUCAAGUUUGAUUCAAAUUGAAGAAGUAUAGCUCAAUUGCUUGAAAUCUGUCCAACAUUGAGAAUCUGAGCUAGCUGAGAUCAAGUCUGCUUUUGAGUGAUCAAAUCUUAUUGAAAUGGCUUGAAAUUUGGUGUGCAUGCUCUACACUUAUCAUAGAAAGUGCUGUAGUAAUUUCAUGGAAAUUGGAUAAGGAAUACUUCGGUUUUGGAGUUUAUCUUAUCAGCUAUUGUGCAGCAGUUUUUAGCAUGUACAGUGGUGGAAGAAUUGAAAUCUGGUAGCAAUCUAUAAGUCAAAAGAAACUCAAAUUUUUACAGCUUCUAGAUAUCUUAGUAAAUCUCAUCUCCACCAAAUUUCGUGGUAUUUGGAUCUGUACAGUGUGAGAUAUGAGUUAUUCUUUGAAAGGUACAGAAUCUGCCAGAAAAGUGACAAAUAUUGGAUUGAUCUAGAGUCACUGAAAUUGAAAGGUCCUCAAGUUGGAAAUAUGAUUAUAAGUUUUUGAGGCACCAAAGUUUGGUUUGGAAUUGAUCUAGAAGCAUGACAAGUAAUGAGUAAAAGGUCAUUUGAUUGUGAAAUGUACUUGGUGUGCACAUUUUAGUACUCAAAUUGAAGAUCAAGAUCAAACUCAAGAUGAAGAUGAAGUUUAAGUUCUAGUGACUACUGGCGAUCAUUUAAUAGAAAGAUAAGGACUUAAACAAGUAGAAAGAAAAGGACUUAAAGAAGGAUUCAUGGUUACUCAUCAUAUUAAGUCCGUCACUUGAAUCAAUCAAUCAAAGCAAUUAAAGUGAGUAUCAAAAAUAGUUCUUUGGAGAGAGGUCACUUCUCCCUAUGUGAGGGGCGUGCCGCCCGAGGAGUGGGUAAACCAAGUGUGGUGCUUGGAAGGCUAACAUGGAAGUGGUGAUCUAAAGAACAUUUGAGAUGCUUAGUUGAAGCAAUCAAAAGGAUUGAUCAAGAAAGCAAGCAACAACCCAAAAGAGAGCUAGUCAUGCUAUUUCAAGUAAUAUUCUUAAUAGUUCUCUCAUGCAAGCAAUGAUCAAAAGAAGAAGCAAGCCAACCACAACAAGAUAUUGCACUUGAUCAAUAAUUGGUUCUCCAUUCAUAUGGGUGAAGAUUUGAUCUAUCAAUUGGCAUUUAUAUUUGGUCUUCACCAAGCUUAUAGUUGGACUUCACAUUGCUAUUUGGAGCUAAAUUAGAAUCUUAUUGACUAUCCUCUACUCCAAGAUAGCAAAGGUAUCAUUGUAAUGUGCAUGAUCAUUUCAUCCCUUACUAGUAUGUGGUUAGUGCAUAUAGUAAAUGCUUAAUAGGAUCAUGCAUGACAAAUGAAAAAGUUUUCAAUUCAUAACCUACCACUAUUGCUUGAAUGAUUAAUUGAUCUAGUGGUAUGUGUAUGAGUUUGUUCAUGAGCUAGUAAACCUAAGUACUUGAUCUAUUUUGUAUUGUUAACAAAAGUGACAAGUACAACAUUGGCAAGAUAACCCUUAAUGAGAGGUGUGAAGAAGCUUGUCAUUGGUUCAAACCGGACUUGGAAGCAUAGGCAAAUCAACUUAGUUCAAGUCAACAAUUAGAAGCUCAUGAUGAUUGGAGUACAAGAACAAGACAACAAUGCAAAUGGAUAUCUAGAUUCAAAUAUUUCCUCAAUUGAUAUCCAACAAGUGGUACUCAUGAUGAUGAUAGCAAAUGUUCAAGAUAGCAAACAAGUGGUUCCAUACUAGAAGACCUUAAUUGGUGGAAGAAUCCCAUAUGGUAUCGGACAAGAUAUUUCAAAUGAUAUCACACUUAUACAUAUGGUAUCUAUCAUACAAGAAGGUGGUUCCACAAGUGAUCCUCAACUUUAAGUGAUCAUCAAGCAAAGAGAGUUCCCUCACCAACAAAAUUGACAAGUGAAUGACCCAUGCUAUGACAUAGGGGGAGUGCCCCACCAAAUGGUAUCAAGGUCAAAGAUCCUAUGUGGUAUCUCAAGAGCAACUCAAGUAAUGUCAUUCCAACACAUGGUGAUGUCCAUAAAAAAUGCAAGAUUCAAGCCUCAACCAUCUAUCCCAAUGCAAUCCUUUGUCACAAUGAGAUUCACAUUUUUACAAAUGGUAUCAAGCGAUUUAAUUGGUAUCACAUACCUUUUAUGGAAAUUGAUGACAAAGGGGGAGAAGUUGGAAUAAAGAUAUGAUCAUGGGAUAAGUAAGUUGGAACAAAGAUAUGAUCAUGGGAUAAGUUGGACAACAAAAGAUAUGUUUCAAGGGGGAUAGAUCAAAGAUGGACAUGGACAAGGGAGCAACAUUAAAAGAAAAGAUGAUGGAUCAAAAUUCUUGGACAAAAGAGAAGCACACAAGUAGGGGGAGCAAGCUCAUGAACAUUGAUUGUUUGCAUUUGAUAUGUGCAUAUUCAUGUGCUUGCUUGCAUUGCAUAAGUUUUAAAUUCAAUAUGCAUGCUUGUCUGGUGUAUGCUAGUUAUAGAACUUGAUUGAUGAUAUGAUAACUAGCAUGCAUAGGUUGGUAGCUAGACUUGUGUUCUUCAAGAAAAGACUAGACCCUUGCCUAUAAUGUUGAUCUCACGGGGUUUCUAGUGUUUUUGUUGUCUAGCUACACAUGGUGCUAAGGAUGGUGUAUAUCGAAUACUUCAAAUGAUAUCGAAUUUGGUAUCGAGCUACAAAGGUUUAUUCUAUACACCUUAGCACUUAGUAUGGUUUUAUGGUGCUUAUCCAAUUCUUGACAUAGAGCUUAAAUAUUGGAUAAGUAGCAUAAAAUCCAAAUCAAGUUAGCAGUUUACACUUGUGUGAAGUGCUAGCUUGAAAAAGCUUAAUUUCCAUAUCUUUGUAGAGUUGUCAUCAAUUACCAAAAAGGGAGAGAUUGAAAGGUCCUUGUUUGGUUUUGGUAAUUGAGUGACAACUUAGGUGGACUAAUAGCGUUUAUGUGAGAUACACAGGAGAUUAGUCCACAAGUGAUGAUGUGAUGAUGGAAGAGCUCAUUGCAUAUGAGACAUGACAUGGAGUCAUGUGACCAAGGUGGAGAAGAUCAAGAUGAGGCUUGGCUUGAUGGACCGGUUGCAAGAGUGAAGGGCAAGUCGGAGGCUUUGAAGUGAGGGACCGCGUGUGACGGUGAAGCUUGAGCAAGACUUGGCGCCGAUGGACCGAGGCAACGGUGAAGAGCAAGUGAGGUCAAGAUCAAUGAACCAAUACGGUCACGUGAUGAUAUGAAGUGGAUCAUAUCAUUUGGUGAUUGAUUGGUGCAUGUGUUGCAUCAACAUUGGAGAAGAUGGAAUGGAAAGCGCAAGGCAAAGGUAUAACCUAGGGCAUUUCCAUUUCACCGGUCAUAGGUGUGUACAGAAGUUUAUGACCGGAUUUAGGAUAGAUGGCCGUACUAUCAAGAGGGGCAAACUUGUUUGCAUAUCGGUCAUCUAGUGCCACUUGAGCGAUCUAACUUUGCAUAUGUGUUAGGAUCGAGUGGCGUGGCAAGUUGAGAGGCUAACUCCUUUGAGAAAAUGUUUGUGAAAAUGCUAACACACUUGCACAUGGUGGUGUACACUUGGUGUUGUUGGCACAUUUGCAAAGGAGGUGGAGUUCCUAGGGUUGAGAGAGGCGCUUUUGAGAAAAUGAAGCGUAUGUUUUCUAUUGCGCCGGUGGGAAAUUUGGAGAACUCGCGGGAUGUUUCUCACUGAGAAACUGUUGAGGAUAUCAGUAAGGGGUAUCCUAACUGAUGCACAUAAUGAGAUUAUCCGUACGCAGGUCGAGGCCCUCAACUCGACGCUCUAGUCAGUCGUACGUAUAGUCAUCGACAACCGCAGCCUCGAAGAUGGUAAAGGCGUCGAGCGAACCGAUCAUGGCUCGAGCGCCGCUACCGUCGAAUACGGAAAUAGGCUCGAGCAAACCAGGAGGCGUCGAGCGCAAGGACGCCGCCCGCCGCCUCACGCGCGCAUGGGAACCAGGACAUUUAAUGCGCCUGUCGCGUUCUCACCUAACACGCUAGUCAUGGGAAGCGUGAUAGGGAACAGGCACCCGUCCCGUCAUUCUUUUUGCAGCCUUCCCCACCAAACAACCCAGAGCGUGUCAGGACGCGGGAAGCAGGGAUGGAACGUCUAAUCAGGACCCCCUCGAGACAUCCAAGGUCAACGCUCUGGACAGCGAAACGCUACACGGCGGCCGACCCUCGACCAGACCCGUUUUCCUCCAGGAGAAGGGUUGGACGUCGAAUGGCAACAAAGCAACCACUCCGACGGAUCCGCCGCUAUAUCGUACAGGCGUGCCACCAAUGAACCAGUCCAAGACGGCGCGCGGAGUAGGAUUCCAGGGCACGCGUAAUCAUCAUCAAGCUACCAGGACGGGAUGGCUCGAGACCACGCCGGUACGGAGGCCUCGAGUAGGUCCGCGCGCCAUGCCUCUAUCGACCCCUACUCUGACACCUACACUUGUACCCUAGGCCUCUCCUUGGAACUAUAAAAGGGGAAGCCCGGGAGAGAACACAGGGGGACGGGGCACGACACCCAUACGCAGUAGAGCUUCUACACUCCCCCUCAUUUCAUACCACGCUUGUAUUCACCCCUGUACAAGCACUUAGGUGCAGAAUAAUACAAACUCUCUCCCCCCGCUGGACGUAGGGCCUUCUCUUGCACGAACCAGGACAAAUCUUUGUGUGUCUUUUUGCAUCACCAUCUGGGAAAGGGAGCACGAAUACAAAUUCACUCGUCGGUGUGACCCCCCGUGGGGAAAACACAGACAGUUGGUGCACCAGGUAGGGGUCCUGCGUGUUUUUCAUCAAUUUCCCAUUUUUUCCCAGAUGGCCACUCUUUCUUCACCGAUUCCGCGCUCCACGGUGAUUUGGUUUGGGAGUCUCGAGUUCAUGUCCACUGGCUCCGGCUAUGACAUGACCUUGCUCUCGAUCAAAGGGCCAGGAGGAGCCCGCGUUGCACCAACCUGGAUGAGGGCCCCGAGACGUCCUCACCACCACGCCUCCCCGCCCAAGAAGAGGCGUGGACAGAACCACCAUCGCCCUUCUACCUCACCACGACCAGCAGUCCGUGCCAGGCAGGAGACGGCACGAGGGCCGAUAGCUCCGUGCACCAUGGGCACGACGGCUCAGUGCCGCGAGGAUCACACGACGACAGGAGGUGACGCGCCCCGCGCACUCUCCCCCACCGCCAGGCUACUUCCACAUGUGCUGUUCGCCUCAAGAGGAGCCUUGCCGUUCGGCCUGGACAAUGCCGCAGUGUCACUUGCUAGGGCGAUAUGCCCAAACGCCCAGACGUACGUGGAGAGACCAAUGGUCCUCCCACGCGACCCCGGAGCACAGCAACCGACGUCCGAGCUACCGGAUUUCUCCCAGGUACGAGGCCUCCGCCGCCUAGGCCCUGGGCACUACACGAUUACAUCUCUUAGACAGCAGCUGCUGGAGGAAGGACACGGAUGCUUUUACGCCGCUGAGCCGGACUCCGGCUCGGAAUCCGACAGCCAUGACCCUACUAGGGAGUGCUUCCAUAUCGACGGAGCGGUGGAAACCACCGACGAGACACAAGACGCCGUUGCGGGCGCGCGAGCCCCUGCAGCAAGGGAAGACCCCAGGAUGCCUGGGAAUGAUGGUCAGAUCGACCCCCCUCCGCAAGAAGACAGUGCCGCGCAAAUUGCGCAGCUACGAGAGCUCAAAGCAAAGCUUGACGAGGACCGUGAGCGCCUCAUCCUGCUUGAGCAGAUCCUCGAGCAGGACCUGCCUUACCCGCCUGGCGGGAGUGUCCGCAGAUGAGCUCGAGAGGUACACUGACAGAUCGUUGGAGACGUAGAGCCAGAACAGCCCGUCAGCAUUUUCCCUCGAGCAGGCCAAAACGUCAUGGCAGCAACAAUGCUGCUGUGAAACAUGCCGGAGCUGUCGAACUCCCAAGCUCGACGCAUCUGAGACGAGGUGCAGACACUACUCCAGGUGGCGACAGUUCAACAGGCCGAAAGCUCGUCUCCUCGACAUCGAGGAGCUGCCACUAAAAAGUGUGACGAGCCAGCCCAAAACGAAAAGGAGGUGUCAGUCCAUCAGUAGCCACCCCCUCGAGGGAAAAAGACCACGCUCGUUCUCCCCGUCGACAAUCAGCGUCGACACGACGCGCGACGCGACAAUGAAGAGAAUCAACGCCGUCGAUACUGAGACGUUGUUGACACCAUUUUUGGGCACGUGUCCAUGAUCGGUAGAAUGCAGGUUGGCAAGACAAGACGGUAGGGCUUGGUCUACAAGAUGAAUUGCCGAUGAGGAUGGUUGCCGAUGAAGAGAUAGCUGGAUGUGGCUAAGUCCAUGGGUGGUGAUGUGCUCGUGCCGAUGGCUAGUAUUGAUCGUUGCUGAUGAGGGAUCUACCGAUGGCGUAGAAGGAAGACUUGGAGGUUACCAAGUGGUCCGUAGUGGUGUUCUAGCCUGUCACGGCAAGAUAGUUUUGUGUUUUCCUUAGUUAUUUAAAUCGUUUUGUACACGGAUUCUGUCCAAAUUUGGAAUUCGAAUUCUAGUCAUGUCUGGUUGUAGCUCUCGGAGCAGGGUAUAAAUGUAGACCCUAGAGCUUUGUAAUCAGGGAAUCUAUCAAUCAAUCAAACACAAGUUUUUACUCAUAUUCCAAGCAUCUACUUUUUCGACGACUUUGUCAUACUUUUUUCCUUUUACUACGAGUUCUUAGGAGUUCGUCGACUUAAGCUCGGUGUAUUCUCAAGUUCCGCGUGAAUACCUCUUGGCCGUGACAUCCGUGCGCAUCGCUGUUGUCAGGACCAAAGUAUUCGAGUUAUCACCUUUGCCGAUAGUAAUGUCAAAUCGGCUGGCACGCCUUAACGUUUGAAUCGGGUAUCAGCCCUUUAUGUUUGCAGAUCCGCUUUUGCAUCAACACAUCUUUUGGCACGCCCAGUGGGACCAGAUUCAAGAUCAAGAUCAACAUGUCGACUUCUGAGUUUGAUCAAGAGAACGUCAUCCCCGUGACGGAGGCCAAUCUUAAGGAUGAGCAGAAGCAAGCUAUUGCUAAAGCCAUGGAGGACUACAAGCAGCAAUGCCUGAGGUCCUUCAGCAUGAAUAGGAGCGGCGAAGUGAUCCAGAAGGACGCGCUGCCGACGCCUCGGCAGGUUACUUUUGAGUCCAAUUCUGGUAAACUUCAGGAGAUGGUCGAUAGUGCCAUCAACCGUGCCCUGAUCAACCAAGCUGGUGUGCUGUCCAAUAUGGUUUUCAACGCCGUGGCUAGAACUUUCAAGGAAGGACAAUUGCCACCAGAUUAUGUGGGCCCCUCUCACCAUCAGCCAAGAUCACCGGUGGUCACAGCUCCAUCGGCUGCUACAGCCGCUGUGGGUACACAAACCACCGUUCCUCCAAGCACGUUGGGAGUUACUAAUGCGCAAUCUACGCCGAUGACAACUAAUCCGCCAACCUCAGAUGGGCAGAUCAAGCUUGCUACAGAUCUGCUGGCAUCGGCAAUGUCAGGACAGGUUCCUCCUCCUAACUGGUGGGGUUAUGGUAUGCCCCCAGAGUUCGCAUUGAAGACACCUAGCACAUCUCAGGCGGCUGAUAUGAGAGGCAAAACUCCUAUGACAUCGGCACCUCCAAGUAUGCCGAUGAAUCAGAGUCCCCAGUAUACUACGACCACUACUGCAAGACCUCACAUCGGGAAUUCUCAAGCUCCAACGUUCCAGAUGCCUGAAGCAUCGGCAGACUCAAUGCUGCUGCAACAGAGGUUUAUGACUCAACCUGGGUAUGUCAAUUCAAUGAUGAUGCCCAAUUACCAGUCAUCGGCAGGACCUAUGCCGAUGAAUGCUAAUAAUGGAUGGCUUGGGCAGCAAGUUUUUCCGCAAACGUCCCAACACAGUCAUCAGGCUACAGGGUUCCAGCAAGGCCAGAUCUAUCCUGGGUUUCAGAAUCAGGGGAUUCCCAACCAGCCAAUGAAUCUUGGGCACCAGGUCGGCGGACAACAGAUUGGCGGGCAACAGCUUGGUGGUCCACAGAUUGGGGGCCAGAUGAUUAACCCGAUGUUCCAUGCAGAUCGUGCGCCGCAUCGACACGUGGAAGCUUACCAGCAGGCGCCCGAUCCGCAACCGCCUCAUCGGCAAGAUGCCGAUGCGUAUUGGGCCGAUAAGAUCGCUGAAGUGAUGAGGGACCAAUUUGGGAUAAAACCCAAAGUCAACACUUACUCUUAUGGGACACCGUAUCCUCCCGCAUAUGAUUUGAUCCCGCUUCCAAAUCGGUACAAGGUACCGGAUUUUACUAAGUUUUCUAGGCAGGAUGACACGUCAACCAUGGAGCACGUCAACAGGUUCAUCAUCCAAUGCGGGGAAGCUGGUAACAGGGAUGAGUUAAGGGUUCGUUUAUUCUCGUCAUCAUUGUCUGGAUCGGCUUUCACUUGGUUUAUAUCAUUACCUCCCAACUCAGUGAUUACCUGGGCUGAUCUGGAGAAACAAUUCCACAAGUACUUCUUUUCUGGGGUCCAUGAGAAGAAGAUCACAGAUUUGGUUAAAUUAAGGCAACGCAAUGAUGAAUCGGUUGAAAGUUUUGUGCAGAGGAUACGAGAAGUCAUGAACAAAUGCUAUAGCCUGGUUCUGGAUGAUCGGCAGCUAACCGAUUUGGCUUUCCAGGGUUUGUUGCCACACAUCAGGGACAAGUAUGCGUCUCAGGAGUUUGAAAGCUUAAGUCAUUUGGUGCAGAGUGUUGACGGUCCUUAAGUACCAAAUAUAAUCAUCAAAUAAAUAAAGAAAAGGAUCCAAAUGCAACCAACACCUAGACUUAGGGUUUUAUCUGACAGAAUUCCACGAGUUUUGGUGUUUGUCUAUUUCUGCAGGGGGUUAUCUGGAAAUACGAAAGAAAGGCCCACAUGUCAGGAUUACAUAGAGAUAUCAACGCACCGCAUAAUUUUCUACCAUCUAGAAGGCUCCAGAAGCCACGGGAAGAAAGCAGAGGCCGAAAGGGGCCAGGCCCAGGGCGCCCGCCCUCUUUCCCUUGGCGCCCGCCCUGUCCUGGACUCCGUUCGGGACUCUCUUCGCACACGAUGUUCCACCGACCUAAAGGAUCAAGGAUAACGUAGUACCACAUCGCCUACCGACCCAAAAACGCAUAGAGGAGGAGGACUAUAUAAGGAGACCCCCUGGCCCCUGGAGAAGACAAGAAGUUAUCAUAGAGUUGAGGGGUGCCCUCGAAGGAAAACCUCUUCUCUAAAUAAUAUUUCUUUUUAGGCUUAGCAUCCAAUGUAAAGUAGAAAUAGAUCUUCUAGUUUCUACUAGAUUGAGAGAGAUAGAGUGGAGGUGUAGAUCGGAGGAAGGCGGGCCUGUCGGUGUCUACUACGAGUUGUACCUGCGGGAUCAAGUCUUCUAACCCGAGGCUUGCUCCUAAGAUUUUUCAGUAAUUCGACUUCUAAUUCUAGUAAGUUCUUGUUUUAUUGUUCUUUGGUUUAUGAGUUUACUUUAAUCCUCUUCCGGUUGAGUAUUAGAGUAAUCAUUGCUAGCGUAAACGUGGUGUUUAGGGUAGGGUACUCAUAGAUAUCCCCUGACUAGCUGGACCGUGGUAGUAGCGAGGAACGUGACAUUUCCGAGUUACCUUUGUAUCCCAUAUCUUGUUAGCAGGACGGGUAGGGUUUAUAGGUGCGGGUCGAACAUCCUUUGUGGUGUCUAGAUUCCGUAAGCUUCCCCAAUAGAACAGUAGAUCAUCCUUACCAAGGUUAGAACGAGACUACGGUUGCAGUCUUCUCUAUACAUCACUCACAUCGAGAAACAUUCUUUGUAGCCUAAAGGGAUAGUAGCAAUAUAUUUGGUUAGUCAGAUGCACCCUUUCUCCCGGUGGUAAAAAUAUAAAUACGAUAACUCUGGAUAACCUCCCGAGUGAAAUUCUCACCGAUAUCCGUGCGCUUGCGGAUCAUUUCCUGAUUGCGUUACCAAAUAUCAACAAGCAUUUCUGGUGCCGUUGCCGGGGAGAAAGACGUUUUGCUGAGAUAACUUUGAGUCUUGCUAUUAUCUUGUAUUAUACUUUUAUACUUUUAUUCUUUUAUCUUUUUAUUUUUAUCUUUAUGGAUAACUCAAAUUCCAUACCUAUUAUUAAAUUCUUUGCACCUUCGGAGACCAGCCAUAGACCAUGGGAGUCAACAAGUCCUGCCCCUAAUUAUGAUCUCUGUCCAGAGUUGAUUGCAGUAGGUGUUCACGGUCCUUAAUGCUCACAUUUAACCAUCAACUAAUCAUAGAAAAGGAUCCAAAUGCAACUAACACCUAGACCUAGGGUUUUAUCUGACAGAAUUCCACAAGUUUUGGUGUUUGUCUAUUUCUGCAGGUGGUUAUCAGGAAAUACGGAGGAAAGGCCCACACGUCGGGUUUACAUAGAGAUAUUAACGUGUCGCGCAAUUUUCUAUCAUCUAGAAGACUCCAGAAGCCACGGGACCGAAGCGGAAGCCGAGAGGCCUCAGGGACAGGGCGCCCGCCCUUCCCCCUGGACCAAUCAGGGUGAAGUUCGGGGAUCAUGCUCCACCGACCUAAUACUUCAAGGAAAACCACACGAUCAAUGUCGGUUUGAUCCGACGGCCCAGAUUCACUUGAAGGGACUAUAAAACCAGACCCCCCUGGCCCCUGGAGAUCAUACCUCUUCUACAGAAUCAAAGCUAGGGUUUCAAUUCUUCAUCCAAGUAGAGAGGAUCCCUCUAGUUCUUCUAGUUCUACCUCUAGUUCAUCUAGAUCUAGUUCUAGUUUAUCUAGUUUUAGUUCUAGUUCCUCUAGUUCUAGUUCUAGUUAGUUUUAGUUGUAAUCUAGAAAAUAGGGAGAGAGAAGAGGAGAGCGGAGGAGGAGCCGGAUCUGUCGGAUCUUCCUCAACAUUAUACUUUUGCAGCAUCUGGUUCGUUCUUCAUCAUUCUCCAGGUUCUUCAAUUCAUAACUUCUGAGUUCUCUAAUUACUUUUAUUUACAUUCAAGUUAUUUAUUGGAUUCCCGCUUGCAUCAAGUGCUCUAGUCUUUAUAACGCUAGAGUAGUAAUUAAUAGAUUAGACGUGGUGUUUAGUCUUGCAAUUACCUGGAAUUGCACCCAAUCCUGCAGAUUGUUGUGGUAGCCUUAGGGUAGUGACAGCCGUAACGGUCGACGUAUUCCACCUCGUUCGGAUCGGUGUUUGUAGGACCGUAGUCAGACCUUCCUAUCCCCCUUCUCAUCUCUUUCUGUGGUUAGUGCUCUGAUGUCCCGAUAUAAAUAAUCUUGAAGUAAUUCUUGAUUCUUAGAUCAACUAGAGAACUCUCAGGAAACUUCCUCUCUUCCCACCAAAAAUACUUAUAUAGUUAUCCUUGGGCGAUCUUGAUUCUUAAUUAGUACACUCACGUUCUCUGUGGAAAAUCGAUACUCUGGAAUACUCCCGGGUGAAAGCUAGAUCGGUAUCCGUGCGCUUGCGGAUUUUUCUGUUUGCGUUUAAAAUACCCAACAAGCUUUCUGGCGCCGUUGCCGGGGAACGGUAGCUGUGCUAGUUUCGAACCAAGUCGUCCGUGUAUCCUUUUUCUUUUCCUUUUUUACCACACUCACCAUACCAUUUUCACCACACCACAUGGAUUUCACUCUAAGCAUUAAUGAGCAUGGAAUUUAUUUCAUAGCCACUUCAUUUACUCCAUGCUCAUAUGCAACAUCUUCACAAUCCAUUGGUCUCUCCAACAUCACCACAUUCGAGAUCUCCAACCCCCUCAUCCUUUCUAUUUAUAAAAACUUUAAAAGGGUGGUUGUCGAUGCAUAUGUCUAUAAGAACUAUUGCAGAUCUCGUUGAGUUGAUAUUGAUAUAGGUCAGCGUUGGAGGGGAAACCACUUCGCCGACAUAAAUUGAUGGUUUCCCAAGGACAAGCUUAGUGUCCUAAAACAAGCACUGAUCAGAUUGUAACAUGAGCUUUUAAUUAUUUGCAACAUUAACUUGUGUAUUGAGCAUAUAAGGAUAAUUGUACAAAUAUUCCUUCGGGUAUUCUUGUCACUAACCUUUCCACGCUUGGAGCAAGAAGAUCAGAUGAAUGACAAGCACAAGGUAUGUCCAACCAAUCAUCAUACAACAUUGAAUUAAAUUCAUCCAAACUUGAAUUCUACAAAAAUUCAAGCUUGGGGGAGUACUUUACAUAAAAACAUCAUUUGCCAUGUUGCUAUGUUGGUUGUCCCUACCUUUGAGACAUGCUCAAUUUGUUAAAUACUAAUCACACUACUUCAUCUCCACUUGAGUAGAUCUCUAUAAAUGCUCUCAUACCACCUUUAUUUGCUUUAGUAUAUGUCUAGGUUUGGAGUAGUUUCAUUUAUCUCUUAAUUAAGCAUGGUGCUUAGUUUAGGAAUGAUGAUCUUACUUCCAAGGGAGUUUAAAUUAAGCAUGGUGCUUAGGUUAAAAUGCCCUCCUAAAUCAAAUUAGACAUGGUGUCUAGGUUGAUUUUUGAGCCGAUAGUAUGCUAUAGUAGAUUUUGGAUAUUUUGUUGGACUAAGCCGUGCAGGAAAACUUUCACUAUCGACUUGGGAAGUCCUGAGAUAAACUCACAUUGGAGAUAAAGAGAGAGACACAUGAAGUUUAACAAUUUACACAAGGAAGGCAUAGCUCACAAGAGAUGAUCCAUGGAUGGUGCCACAAACACGAUGCACAACUGCUAACAAAGGAAAGCUUCCACAAGGUGAUACUAUACCAUCACUCUUCAAGUAAGGUAAUAUCUUAAGGUACUUGACUAUCACUUUUAUAAGUUUCUCCUUGGUUCUAGCGUUCACAUGAAUAAAAGAGACAAACAUGUAUGAUUUACAAAUCUAGAUUAACCAACCUAGUCGAUUCAAUAUGUUUAGUCAUUCCACCUUUGUGAUCCCACACUCCUAAUCAUAUGAGCUAAAAUGUUGCACACUCAAUCUUUGGAAGAUAUAUUUAAAAAAAAACAACAUAAAUAUAGAUACAUUAUCUUUCCAUAAGGUUGAGUGAUCUGAUCUGACAAAUGUUUUAAAUGUUACACUCAUGAUCUUAUUAUCCAUCAACUUUGUCUUGCUCACUAUGCUUAAGGUUAGAGAGAACAAAUACACUUUUGGUUCUGUUGGUGUUUUCCACCAACAGGGCCCAUGCACUUGAUCUCUGCCUUGUCUCUAUGAGCAGGUACACUUCGAGCAAAAUAUGAAGGACUUUUAUAACUCCCAGACUCCACGAAGUGAAGAACCUAGAUCUACGAGCACAAACACACUGGAGAUACUGGACACUCAGGCAAUCACUGCCCUGAGAUGCUUGAGGACAUAACUACUGGAGUAACCCUGUUGUGGAAGUAAUUACUGACCUUCUGCUGGUCAAGAAAUACAAUCCAGGACGUCCCGUCAUCCCGAUCUCCAUCGGCAUGGUGGACUUCCUAGAAGCACUCUGCAACUUUGGCUCCAGCGUCAACAUUAUGCCCAGGGGAAUAUUGAAGAACACAUCCUUUACUAGAAACAACCGUGUGCUUGCAGCCUGCAGAUCAGACACUAAGUUUCCCAAAGAGAAUAUUGAAGAACCUCUGCGUCCGAGUUGGUACCUUGUACGCCCCAGCAGACUUCGUGGUGAUAGAGUCUGGUACUGAUGAGAGGGCACCCAUCCUAGGGAGGCCAUUCUUGAACACCUCAGGAGCUGUCAUCUACGCUAGCGCUGUCAAGAUCAGUUUCUUCAUCAAUGGGAGGAAGGAGACGUUUUCCUUCAAGAACAAGAUUACACAAAUCUCAGAGCAAUCCAGACAUGAACCAAGGAAGAGGACCAACAGGAGGAACAAAAACAAGCAAAUGUGGACCGAGUCAGCUAAGAUGGUGACUACAGUUCAAGGAGGUCAAGAUCGUCGACUUAAAUCACCGUUCCUGACCAAAAAGGACGACUCAGAUAUCCCAAGCAUCCAGUGCUCCAUUAAUGGAUACAACUUCUAGAAGACGCUUUGCGACACCGGAUUACGCAUCAACAUAAUGGCCGCAGUCACCUAUCAGCUCCUGUUCGGAACCAUGCCCCUAAAACCGACAUACAUUAAGCUCCACAUGGCAGAUCAGACAUUUCGAAAGGUUGAAGGAGACCGUUCCUCAGCACCGUUAAAGCAAUCAUCUACAUUGGAACCGGCGGAGUCCACAUGCACUUCCCCUCUGAAAAGGUACGCCACUAUUUUACUAACCUUAACUAUAUAGUUGAAGACUCUAAGUAGGUCAGGACAAGAAGAAGACAAUGCAACCGCAACCAGAGGAGGAAAAUCAUCAAGGACGGAUGGGCAGACUACGAAGGAGAAGUAGUAAGGUCCGAAGACAUACAACUUGAACAGAACUAUCCUGAGGAGACCGUAGCACCGAGUCAGGUGUGUAGAGAGAAGAUAGUUAUACAUGAAGAGCAGACGCCGCCGGAACCACCGACUACGCCAUCCAGCGAAUCCCAAGACGACUGAGAAAACGGAGAGUCCUGUUCGGAGGACUUAAAAACACAAAACGCCUUGCCAAGAGGUAAACUUGGUAGUUAUUUUUUUUUCUUUUCAAUUAUUUUCAAUAGUUUGCUUAGUUAAUCAGGUUCAUAUCAUCUUGAAAAGAAAAUAAAAAUGUUAAAAAUAGUAAGCCCCAUGUGAGUAUGCUCAUGGCAUAAAACCCAUAAGUACAUUCACUGUGGUGGCGUAAGAAUGAAAUAAAUAUAUUCCUAUCCUAUAAAAAUGAGAAUAUAUAAAUAAGAUUGUGAUCCUACUAAAGAGAGUAACAUUUAUUGAGGAGGCUCAACAUCAUAAAGGCUAGAUAUUUAUGCUAACACUUAACUAGUUAUACAAAGCUUUGUUGUCUAUUUGAGCUCCAUAGAAUUCAAGGAUCAAAGAAGACUAGCAGACGGAGGACAUCCUAAUCGCUGUCAGGGUGCUGCUGACAUUCAAAUACACCUUCACCACUUGCUAGCUACAUUAUAAGAAACUACGUCAAAAUCCAGCUUGGGGGAGAGCACCCCCAUUUAUUUAGCUAAGUAUUCUACUCACGUUUAUACUUUACUCUAAUAAUAAAAAGAUGCAUAAUCAUAGAAACCCAAAUAAAGAUUUUGUGCUUAUAUAUCUUUGCUUAGUUUGCUAAAUAAAUAAAUAAAUAAAGUUUGCUAUGAACUCUCAUGAUAAGCUCUCACAUGGAAAUGAUGAAUAGUUGCUCUGCCAUGACUAGUUCUUAAAAUUGAAAUCUCUCUCAAGUUUAGGCAUGAUUGUUAUUAAUUAAGAUUUGCUCUAAACCUGAACUUGUGGGAAGAGUACUUGAUCUAAAGUCUAAGUCAUUAACGGAUACGAUAUGGGAAGGUUGAGCUGUUGUUUAUCUGUUCCUAGAGAUGCUAGAAUUCUAGAAAAUUUUAUCUUUGAAAAUCUUUAAAAUGUUGCAUGAUGAGUUCCUGUAUGAUGAGAGUUUAAAUUCCUACCAUAGCCAUAUAUACAUGCUUGCUAGACUUUGAGCUACACAUUUACUUUUUACUGCUUAUGAGCAUUGAGUGUGGUCAAGCUGUGUAGACCCUUAGGAGCUUGUCAUGUGGUUAAGUCAAGAUUCACUUGCACGUUCACUCAUACAUGCUACUUCUACUCCAGAAGUACCAUCCACAUAUAUCCAUCCAUUUCCAUCUCCAGAACCACCCAAAAAUAUUCUACUCCUAAUCUGGGAGAGAAUAGCCAAAAACAUUCUCCUAUUUCUGUUUUUCCCUGUGAAAUAAAUGCUCAAGUUAUCUUGGUUACUACCACUUGCUAUAUUAUUUCAGGAGAUGAGUGCUCUAAAAAAAAGAAAAAAGAGAGAAAAAAAGAGAUACGAGGAAAUAAAAAGGGGCAAGUGCCCGGAACCUCGAAGAAAAGAAAAAGUGAGACAAGAGGUAAAAAUGGACAAGUGUCCGAUAGUAGAAUUAGGGGUACAAGAUACCCACCUGAGAGAAAAGAAAAAGAAAACAUAGAGCAUCUCAUUCUCCUCAAAAAGUUUCAAAAGAGCAAGAAAGGUAUGUAUCCCCUCAAAAGAGCACAAGUAGAAUUAGACUUUCACCAUUGUUAUCACCAUCAUUACCAUGCACCAUUCAUUCGCCACACAUGCACAUCUUGAUUUGACUUAUUGACUUGUUUUUCUGGAUCCAUGGUUUGACUAUACAAUACAUGUCUUGUAAGUAUGUAUACUUUAUCUCCCACCUAUGAGCUCCAGAUAUUAAAGCCUUAUUAGAGUAGGGUGAGAGAGAAGGCAAUGCCACUAUGCCUUAUACCACAAAUACUACAGAUUUUGAGAGAAGGAGUAUACCAUCACUGCCUUGGUAAGGAUCCAAAAAUACCACAAAAGAGAGACUAGAGAGAGUCAUACAAGGAAUCUCUGAGUUUUAUUUGAAAAUCUGCAAAAACUCCAGAGCUAUAGUUAAUCGAAGAACAAGAGACAUGGUGUUUGACUAGACUGUUCUAUAUUUUAACUACUCAAGACAGAAGUGAUGGUUACAAGUCCCAUGGUGAAAGGUAAAUGAGUAAGUUUUAAGUCUUAACAGUUUACUCUAACCAGAGAUGAAAUCUUGUUUAAACGCAUGUGUAUUUUUAAGUUAUGAAACCACUGCAGAAACUCUUGAGUUCAUCUUUGCUCAGGGACGAGCAAAGGUUAAGCUUGGGGGAGCUUGUUGACGGUCCUUAAUGCUCACAUUUAACCAUCAACUAAAUAUAGAAAAGGAUCCAAAUGCAACUAACACCUAGACUUAGGGUUUUAUCUGACAGAAUUCCACAAGUUUUGGUGUUUGUCUAUUUCUGCAGGGGGUUAUCAGGAAAUACGGAGGAAAGGCCCACGCGUCGGGUUUACAUAGAGAUAUUAAUGUGUCGCGCAAUUUUCUAUCAUCUAGAAGACUCCAGAAGCCACGGGACCGAAGCGGAAGCCGAGAGGCCUCAGGGACAGGGUGCCCGCCCUAGUCCUAAGGGCGCCCGCCCUUCCCCCUGGACCAAUCAGGGUGAAGUUCGGGGAUCAUGCUCCACCGACCUAAUACUUCAAGGAAAACCACACGAUCAAUGUCGGUUUGAUCCGACGGCCCAGAUUCACUUGAAGGGACUAUAAAACUAGACCCCCCUGGCCCCUGGAGAUCAUACCUCUUCUACAGAAUCAAAGCUAGGGUUUCAAUUCUUCAUCCAAGUAGAGAGGAUCCCUCUAGUUCUUCUAGUUCUACCUCUAGUUCAUCUAGAUCUAGUUCUAGUUCAUCUAGUUCUAGUUCUAGUUCCUCUAGUUCUAGUUCUAAUUAGUUCUAGUUGUAAUCUAGAAAAUAGGGAGAGAGAAGAGGAGAGCGGAGGAGGAGCCGGAUCUGUCGGAUCUUCCUCAACAUUAUACUUUUGCAGCAUCUGGUUCGUUCUUCAUCGUUCUCCAGGUUCUUCAAUUCAUAACUCCUGAGUUCUCUAAUUACUUUUAUUUACAUUCAAGUUAUUUAUUGGAUUCCCGCUUGCAUCAAGUGCUCUAGUCUUUAUAACGCUAGAGUAGUCAAUAAUAGAUUAGACGUGGUGUUUAGUCUUGCAAUUACCUGGAAUUGCACCCAAUCCUGCGGAUUGUUGUGGUAGCCUUAGGGUAGUGACAGCCCUAACGGUCGACGUAUUCCACCUCGUUCGGAUCGGUGUUUGUAGGACCGUAGUCAGACCUUCCUAGCCCCCUUCUCAUCUCUUUCUAUGGUUAGUGCUCUGAUGUCCCGAUAUAAAUAAUCUUGAAGUAAUUCUUGAUUCUUAGAUCAACUAGAGAACUCUCAGGAAACUUCCUCUCUUCCCACCAAAAAUACUUAUAUAGUUAUCCUUGGGCGAUCUUGAUUCUUAAUUAGUACACUCACGUUCUCUGUGGAAAAUCGAUACUCUGGAAUACUCCCGGGUGAAAGCUACAUCGGUAUCCGUGCACUUGCGGAUUUUUCUGUUUGCUUUUAAAAUACCCAACAGUAGGUCAAAACCAACCCUUUUCUAUAGCUGAGGUCCUAUCUUUUAAUCAAGAAGAUAAUGCACUUUUAGCUACACCUAGGGAAUCUAUUAAUCUUUCUAUAAAUUCUGGUUUAAACCUAGCCCUACAAGACCAUGUUUUUUCUCGAUACUUUCACAUUGGUCUUAAUUAUAUAACCAUUGGUAGAGUCUCUCUUUCUUUAUCUAUUAGUAAAGGAAGGUAUGUCUUCAUUCGUGGACAUCCUUCUUAUACUAGUCUUCAUAGAAAAAUCUUAGAGAUAGAGAAGGAAUCAUCUCCCAGACGAGGAAAGGCAGUUUCAAUAGCCAAUUUUCAAUCACUUCAAUCCCAUGAUUCGGCUAUCAAACCCAUCCUUGAGCCUAAUAAUUUCUACUACGCUCUUUCUCUUGAACCUCCCGAUAAUCCUAUGAAUCUAUCUAGACAUCCCAUUCAUAAGAAUCACCAAGACUACAAGGAGGAUCGAGAAGAGCAGCAUCAAUGGCUAGAGGGCAUUAAAAAUCCAUGUGCUAUCACCAUUGAAUGGAUAGAUAAAACAAACUUGAGAGACAAUCCUAGAGGAAUUUUAAGCAUUCAUGAAGAAUCAUCCUUGGAGUUUGAGAAUGAGAGAAACAACAGUGAGCAUGGAAGUUAUUUCAUAAAUACCUCAUCAAGUCCUUGCUCAUAUAAAACAUCUCCCCAAUCAAUUGGUCUCUCUAACCUUACCACAUUUGAGAUCUCCAACCCCCUCUUCCUUUCUAUUUAUAAAAACUUUAAAAGAGCGGUUGUCGAUACAUAUGUCUAUAAUAAAUAUUGCAGAUCUCGUUGAGUUAAUUGAUGGUUUCCCAAGGACAAGCUUAGUGUCCUAAAACAAACACUGAUCAGAUCGUAACAUGAACUUCUAAUUAUUUGCAACAUUGCCUUGUGUAUGGAGCAUAUAAAGAUAAUUGUAGAAAUAUUACUUCGGGUAUUCUUGUCACUAACCUUCCCAGGAUUGGAGCAAGAAGAUGGGAUGAAUGACAAGUACAAGGUAUGUCCAACCAACCAUCACACAACAUUGAAUUCAUCCAAACUUGAAUUUUGCAAAAUUCAAGCUUGGGGGAGUAGUUUACAUAAAAACAUCUUUUGCCAUGUUGCUACGUUGGUUGUCCUUACCUUUGAGACAUGCUCAAUUGAUUAAAUACUAAUCACACUACUUCAUCUCCACUUGAGUAGAUCUCUAUAAAUGCCAUCACGCUUCCUUUGUUUAUCCUAGUAAGUGUUAGUUUGGAAGUACUGCACAUACUUCUAUUGGCUUUUGAAUUAAGCAUGGUGCUUAGGUUAAACAGCCUUCCUUAAUCUGAUUAGACAUGGAGUCUAGUUCGGUUAUUGAACUAAAAACUGCUUGUGUAGACAUUGGUAUAUUUUGUUGGACUAACCCCUGCAGAAAAACUUUCAAUAUCAAUUUGGGAAGUCCUGAGAUAUAAACUCAUUGGAGAUAAAGGAGACACAUGAAGUUUAACAAUUUGCACAAGAAGGACAUAGCUCAUUCAUCAUAAAGAGAUGAUCCAUAGAGGGUGCCACAAACACGAUGCACAACCGCUAAGAAAGGAAAGCUUCCACAAGGUGAUACUAUACCAUCACUAAGUAAGGUAACAUCUUAAGGUACUUGACUAUCGCUUUUAUAAGCUUCUCCUUGGUUCUGGCGUUCACAUAAAUAAAGAGACAAACAUGUAUGAUUUAUAACUCUAAAUUAACCAACCUAACUGAUUCAGCAUGUUUAGUCCUUUAAUCUUUGUUCUUAGUACUACCUUCGUGAUCCCACACUCCUAUUCAUAUAAGCUAAUAUGUUGCACAUUCAAUCUUUGGAAGAUAUAAACAAAACAUAAAUAUAGACAGACUAUCUUUCCAUUAGGUUGAGCCAUCUGAUCUGACAAAUGUUUCAAAUACUACACUCAUGAUUUUAUUAUCCAUCAACUUUGUCUUGCUCACUAUGCUUAAGGUUAGAGAAGAACAAAUACACUUUUGGUUCUGUUGGUGUUUUCCACCAAUAGAGCCCAUGCACUUGAUCUCUGCCUUGUCUCUAUGAACAGGUGCACUUCGAGCAAAACCUGAAGGAGUUUUACAACUCCUAGAUUCCAGCAAGUGAAGGACUUGGAUCUACGAGCACAAACACACUGAGCAGGAUAUUGCCAACACCGCACUUCGAACUGCUGGACAAACAAAGAACAAAGGUGACACCAUAUCAAAAGGUGCAGAUGUCAAGGUCCACGCCUAAUCAAAUGAUGCACCUAAAGGAUGAAGACGGUGAGAAGUCUUGUCCAGAACACAUAAAACAUUGGAUCCUUGUCGGAGGAGGUCAAGAUCGUUGACUCAAGUCGCCUUUCCUGAUCAAGAAGGACGACCCUGGUGUUCCAAGCAUCGAGUGCACAAUCAAUGGAUACUCUUUUCAGAAGACACUCUACGACACCGGAUCUGAUGACAACAUAAUGGCUGUAGUCAGUUAUCAGCUCCUGCAUGGAACCAUGCUCCUACAACCAAGAUACAUUCAGCUUCAGAUGAUUUUUAGGUCAUUGACAUGGGAGAAGACGAGUACGAUCCACCCAUCGUCCUUGGAAGACCGUUCCUCAACACUAUCAAAGCAAUCAUCUACAUUGGAACCGGAGAAGUCCACAUACUCUAAGCAGGAUAGGACAAGAAGACGACGCAACCGCAAUUAGAGGAGGUAAAUCAUCAAGAACGGAUGGGUAGACUACGAAGGAGAAGUGAUAAGGACUGAAGACAUACAGCUUGAACAAGAACUGUCCUGAGGAGACCGUAGCACCGAGUCAGGGGUGGAAAGAGAAGAUAGUUAUACACGAAGAAGAGGCGCCGCCGGAAUCACCGACUACGCCACCUAGCGAAUCCUAGGACGACUGAAAACACAAGGAGUCCCGUUCGGAGGACUUAAAAACACCGAACGCCUUGCCAAGAGGUAAACUUGGUAGUUAUCCUUUUCCUUUCAAUUAUUCAAUUAUAGUUUACUUAGUUAAACAGGUUCAUAUCAUCUCAAAAAGAAAAUAAAAAUGCUAAAAAUAGUAAGCCCCAUGUGAGUAUACUCAUGGCAUAAAACCCAUAGGUACAUUCACUAUGGUGGCAUAAAAAUAAAAUAAAUAAGUUUUCAUCUUACAAUAAAAAUAUAAAAACAAUAAGUGCAUGAUCCUGCUAAAUAAGUAACAUUUAUUGAGGAGGCUCAACAUGAUAAAGGCUAGAUAUUUAUGCUAACACUUAACCAGUUCCACAAAGCUUUGUUGUCUAUUUGAGCUCCACAGAAUUCAAGGAUCAAAAAAGACUAGCAGACGGAGGACAUCCUAAUCGUUCUCAGGGUGCUGCCAACAUUCAAACACACCUCCGUCACUUGCUAGCUACAUCAGAUGAAAUUACGUCAAAAUCUAGCUUGGGGGAGAGCACCCCCAUUUAUCCAGCUAAGAGUUUCUACUCGUGUUUAUACUUUACUCAAAUAAUAAAAGAUGCAUAAUCAUGAAAACCCAAAUAAAUAUUUUGUGCUUCUAUAUAUAUAUCUUUGCUUAGUUUGCUAAAUAUAUAAAUAAAUAAAGUUUGCUAUGAACCCUCAUGAUAAUCUCUCACAUGGAAAUGAUGAAUAGUUGCUCUGCCAUAACUAGUUCUCAAAAUUGAAAUCUCUCUCAAGUUUAGGCAUGACUGUUAUGAAUUAAGAUUUGCUCUAAACCUGAACUUGUGGGAAGAGUACUUGAUCUAAAAUCGAAGUCGUUAACGGAUACGAUAUGGGAAGGUUGAGCUGCUAUUUAUCUGUUCCUAGAGAUGCUAGAAUUCUGGAGAAUUUUAUAUUUAAAAAUCUUUAAAAUAACACAUGAUGAGUUCCUCUAUGAUGAGAGUUUAAAUUCCUACCACAGCCAUAUAUACAUGCUUAUUAGACUUUGAGCCACACAUUUACUUACUGCUUAUGAGCAUUGAGUGUGGUCAAGCUGUGUAGACCCUUAGGAGCUUGUCAUGUGGUUAAAAUCAAGAUUCACUUGCACGUUCACUCAUACAUGCUACUUCUACUCCAGAAGUACCAUCCACAUAUAUCCACUCAUUUCCAUCACCAGAACCACCCAAAAACAUUCUACUCCUAAUCCAGGAAAGAAUGGCCAGAAAUAUUUCUGUUUUUCCCUGUGGAAUAAAUGCUCGAGUUAUUUUGGUUACUAUCACUUGCUACAUUCUUUCAGGAGAUGAGUGCUCUAAAAAAAAGAGAAAAAAAUAUAUAAUACGAGGAAAUAAAAAGGGGCAAGUGCCCGGAACCUCGAAGAAAAGAAAAAGUGAGACGAGAGGUAAAAAUGGACAAGUGUCUGACAGUAGAAUUAGGGGUACAAGAUACCCACCUCAGAGGAAAGAAAAAGAAAAUAUAGAGCAUCUCAUUCUCCCCAAUAAGCUUCAAAGUGAAAGAAAGGUAUGUAUCCCCUAAAAAGAGCAAAAGUAGAAUUAGACUUUCACCAUUGUUAUCACCAUCAUCACCAUACACCAUUCACUCGCCACACAUGCACAUCUUGAUUUGACUUAUUGACUUGUUCUUCUGGAUCCAUGGUUUGACUAUGCAAUAAAUGUCUUGUAAGUAUGUAUUAGCUGUCUCCCACCUAUGAGCUCCAGAUAUCAAAUCUUACUAGAGUAGGGUGAGAGAGAAGGCAAUAUCACUAUGCCUCAUACCAAAAAUACCACAUACUUUAAGAGAAGACAUAUACCAUUACUGCCUUGGAAAGGAUCCAGAAAUACCGCAAAAGAGAGACUAGAGAGUGUCAUACAAGGAAUCUCUAAGUUUUAUUCAAAAAUCUGCAAAAACUCUAGAGCUAUAGCUGAUUAAGAAUAAGAGACAUGGUGCUUGACUUGACCGUUCUAUAUUUUAACUGCUCAAGACACAAGUGACGGUUACAAGCCCCAUGGUGAAAGGUAAAAUGAGUAAGUUUUAAGUCUUAACAGUUUAUUCUAACUCAGAGA
RNAcentral lists this long non-coding RNA (36004 nucleotides) under Sorghum bicolor (sorghum). RNAcentral's name for it is "long non-coding RNA (SBIC_LNC012312)". The record is from RNAcentral. Lineage: Eukaryota; Viridiplantae; Streptophyta; Magnoliopsida; Poales; Poaceae.